Molecule: long non-coding RNA, 628 nt
Filed under: Cricetulus griseus (Chinese hamster)
Lineage: Eukaryota; Metazoa; Chordata; Mammalia; Rodentia; Cricetidae
Description: lncRNA (ENSCGRG00015034265.1)
Source: RNAcentral
CUCAGCUGGUGACUGGUUUCUGACUUUGGCUGUCAGCAAACAGUGUGUGGGGCUCUGCCUGCCCACGCCCUAUGUCUGUGAGUGCUGUGGAGGCCAUAUGAGUCAUGCCUGCAUUUUUACAGGGUGGCCUGGUAACUCUUGAUUGGCCACCAUGAAAACAUGGACCUCAGAAGCACAAGAUGGCAGGAGGAAGCCAUGGCUGCUGGCUGGUGCUGUUAUGAGCACCAGCAUUUUGUCAGUUUGGGGACUAGGAGGGUAGUCCCUGCCAUGUCCAACACCUGAGCCAGGAGAGGUUGGAUAUGGUGAAAAGGCUUUUGAUCUUUGCAAAGAAAGGAUCCCUUGAGGCUGGAGGCGGGCAGCCUUUAGGUGUCACUCACACUGGAGAAACUUUGAUGGAGCACUGACUGAGUCCCGGGAGAGGCCAUGUGAAUGGAGGCAAGAUGCUCCUGACUCUGGCCAGCUCAGGGAAAAGUCUAUCUGGGGUUUCCAGGAUCAACUGCCACGUGAGUAGUUUACUCAAUGUUCCAGAAGUAAUGAGGACAUGGCGUUAAAGAAGGACAUGAAGCCGAAGAAAAUAAUACAGAGCCUUGGUGAUGAGAACAACUGAAGAAUGGGCCUGGAGAGGAAG